This 562-nucleotide ribosomal RNA is filed under the name uncultured bacterium. RNAcentral's name for it is "bacterial SSU rRNA". It matches the Rfam family "Bacterial small subunit ribosomal RNA", at positions 338 to 917 of the family's 1533-position model. The record is from RNAcentral.
CCUACGGGAGGCAGCAGUGGGGAAUAUUGGACAAUGGGCGAAAGCCUGAUCCAGCAAUGCCGCGUGAGUGAUGAAGGCCUUAGGGUUGUAAAGCUCUUUUACUAGGGAUGAUAAUGACAGUACCUAGAGAAUAAGCCCCGGCUAACUCCGUGCCAGCAGCCGCGGUAAUACGGAGGGGGCUAGCGUUGUUCGGAAUUACUGGGCGUAAAGAGUACGUAGGCGGUUAUUCAAGUCAGAGGUGAAAGCCUGGAGCUCAACUCCAGAACUGCCUUUGAAACUAGAUAGCUAGAAUCAUGGAGAGGUUAGUGGAAUUCCGAGUGUAGAGGUGAAAUUCGUAGAUAUUCGGAAGAACACCAGUGGCGAAGGCGACUAACUGGACAUGUAUUGACGCUGAGGUACGAAAGCGUGGGGAGCAAACAGGAUUAGAUACCCUGGUAGUCCACGCCGUAAACGAUGAUAACUAGCUGUUCGGGCUCUCAGAGCUUGAGUGGCGCAGCUAACGCAUUAAGUUAUCCGCCUGGGGAUACGGUCGCAAGAUUAAAACUCAAAUGAAAUUGAACGG